RNAcentral lists this small nuclear RNA (23 nucleotides) under Arabidopsis thaliana (thale cress). RNAcentral describes it as "snRNA_01987". Lineage: Eukaryota; Viridiplantae; Streptophyta; Magnoliopsida; Brassicales; Brassicaceae. The record is from RNAcentral.
CCUAACCACAAUAUGAUUAUUGU